RNAcentral lists this ribosomal RNA (1175 nucleotides) under Bacillus velezensis. RNAcentral's name for it is "bacterial SSU rRNA". It matches the Rfam family "Bacterial small subunit ribosomal RNA", at positions 112 to 1272 of the family's 1533-position model. Lineage: Bacteria; Bacillati; Bacillota; Bacilli; Caryophanales; Bacillaceae. The record is from RNAcentral.
AACACGUGGGUAACCUGCCUGUAAGACUGGGAUAACUCCGGGAAACCGGGGCUAAUACCGGAUGGUUGUUUGAACCGCAUGGUUCAGACAUAAAAGGUGGCUUCGGCUACCACUUACAGAUGGACCCGCGGCGCAUUAGCUAGUUGGUGAGGUAACGGCUCACCAAGGCGACGAUGCGUAGCCGACCUGAGAGGGUGAUCGGCCACACUGGGACUGAGACACGGCCCAGACUCCUACGGGAGGCAGCAGUAGGGAAUCUUCCGCAAUGGACGAAAGUCUGACGGAGCAACGCCGCGUGAGUGAUGAAGGUUUUCGGAUCGUAAAGCUCUGUUGUUAGGGAAGAACAAGUGCCGUUCAAAUAGGGCGGCACCUUGACGGUACCUAACCAGAAAGCCACGGCUAACUACGUGCCAGCAGCCGCGGUAAUACGUAGGUGGCAAGCGUUGUCCGGAAUUAUUGGGGCGUAAAGGGCUCGCAGGCGGUUUCUUAAGUCUGAUGUGAAAGCCCCCGGCUCAACCGGGGAGGGUCAUUGGAAACUGGGGAACUUGAGUGCAGAAGAGGAGAGUGGAAUUCCACGUGUAGCGGUGAAAUGCGUAGAGAUGUGGAGGAACACCAGUGGCGAAGGCGACUCUCUGGUCUGUAACUGACGCUGAGGAGCGAAAGCGUGGGGAGCGAACAGGAUUAGAUACCCUGGUAGUCCACGCCGUAAACGAUGAGUGCUAAGUGUUAGGGGGUUUCCGCCCCUUAGUGCUGCAGCUAACGCAUUAAGCACUCCGCCUGGGGAGUACGGUCGCAAGACUGAAACUCAAAGGAAUUGACGGGGGCCCGCACAAGCGGUGGAGCAUGUGGUUUAAUUCGAAGCAACGCGAAGAACCUUACCAGGUCUUGACAUCCUCUGACAAUCCUAGAGAUAGGACGUCCCCUUCGGGGGCAGAGUGACAGGUGGUGCAUGGUUGUCGUCAGCUCGUGUCGUGAGAUGUUGGGUUAAGUCCCGCAACGAGCGCAACCCUUGAUCUUAGUUGCCAGCAUUCAGUUGGGCACUCUAAGGUGACUGCCGGUGACAAACCGGAGGAAGGUGGGGAUGACGUCAAAUCAUCAUGCCCCUUAUGACCUGGGCUACACACGUGCUACAAUGGACAGAACAAAGGGCAGCGAAACCGCGAGGUUAAGCCAAU